UCAAUAUGUUCUCUAACUGAGUACAUACAUAUGCUGAAAUUACUUAAAACUCAUUUGUCUUUUGCUUUUUGGAUUUUUAACACCUGCAUUUCAAUAUGUUCUCUGAUGGAAUUUCUUCUCACUUUGAUUUGGCAGAGUCGGUUCCUCCUUCCUUCACUGAAUUUUUGAUUUAUCUUUUCUUCUAUUGCCUUUGCAGAACAAUUAAGUUCGAGGAUCUUAGAGCCAAGAGUUGUCGGCUUCUAGAUUGCAAAAAUAUAUGGAACAAUAACUCUUCUCUUCAAAACUUUGAUGCCUCAAUUUGCUGAUAUCUUUGGAGGAUUAUCCGCUUGAAGAAUGAUAGCUGUUACAUAAUUGGCUAAAUUAAAGCUUUUGCUACUUAGACGCUCUAAAUUAGUAUAGUUGCUCUAAAUAUUAGUUUUUUCACUUUUUUGCCUUAUGAGUUUAUUGAGCUGAUGCUCAUUAGGUUUAUGUAUGAAACAAUUAUGGAUGUAUUUGCUGGCUAUAAUGACAGAAUGAAUAAUAUAUGCCUUUUGUGUA
Long non-coding RNA from Rosa rugosa (rugosa rose), 537 nucleotides. RefSeq lists it as uncharacterized. The record is from RefSeq and is a predicted model, not a curated record. The transcript is spliced from 2 exons. NCBI's taxonomy places the organism in Eukaryota, Viridiplantae, Streptophyta, Magnoliopsida, Rosales, Rosaceae.